This 1323-nucleotide ribosomal RNA is filed under the name Priocera sp. G0188. RNAcentral describes it as "SSU rRNA". It matches the Rfam family "Eukaryotic small subunit ribosomal RNA", at positions 32 to 1295 of the family's 1831-position model. The record is from RNAcentral. Lineage: Eukaryota; Metazoa; Arthropoda; Insecta; Coleoptera; Cleridae.
UUGUCUCAAAGAUUAAGCCAUGCAUGUCUCAGUACAAGCCGAAUUAAGGUGAAACCGCGAAAGGCUCAUUAAAUCAGUUAUGGUUCCUUAGAUCGUACCCACAUUUACUUGGAUAACUGUGGUAAUUCUAGAGCUAAUACAUGCAAACAGAGCUCCGACCGGAGACGGAAGGAGCGCUUUUAUUAGAUCAAAACCAAUCGGUGGCGGGUUCGCUCGUCAUCGUAUAACUUGGUGACUCUGAAUAACUUUAAGCUGAUCGCACGGUCUAGCACCGGCGACGCAUCUUUCAAAUGUCUGCCUUAUCAACUGUCGAUGGUAGGUUCUGCGCCUACCAUGGUCGUAACGGGUAACGGGGAAUCAGGGUUCGAUUCCGGAGAGGGAGCCUGAGAAACGGCUACCACAUCCAAGGAAGGCAGCAGGCGCGCAAAUUACCCACUCCCGGCACGGGGAGGUAGUGACGAAAAAUAACGAUACGGGACUCAUCCGAGGCCCCGUAAUCGGAAUGAGUACACUCUAAACCCUUUAACGAGGAUCAAUUGGAGGGCAAGUCUGGUGCCAGCAGCCGCGGUAAUUCCAGCUCCAAUAGCGUAUAUUAAAGUUGUUGCGGUUAAAAAGCUCGUAGUCGAAUUUGUGUCCCACGCCGCCGGUUCAUCGUCCGCGGUGUCAACUGGCGUGUCGCGGGACGUCCUGCCGGUGGGCUUAGCUCGCAAGGGCGACGCCCAACUCAAUCCCGCCGCGGUGCUCUUCACUGAGUGUCGAGGUGGGCCGGCACGUUUACUUUGAACAAAUUAGAGUGCUUAAAGCAGGCUAAAAUUUCGCCUGAAUACUGUGUGCAUGGAAUAAUGGAAUAGGACCUCGGUUCUAUUUUGUUGGUUUUCGGAACCCCGAGGUAAUGAUUAAUAGGAACGGAUGGGGGCAUUCGUAUUGCGACGUUAGAGGUGAAAUUCUUGGACCGUCGCAAGACGGACAGAAGCGAAAGCAUUUGCCAAAAACGCUUUCAUUGAUCAAGAACGAAAGUUAGAGGUUCGAAGGCGAUCAGAUACCGCCCUAGUUCUAACCAUAAACGAUGCCAGCUAGCGAUCCGCCGACGUUCCUCCGAUGACUCGGCGGGCAGCUUCCGGGAAACCNAAGCUUUUGGGUUCCGGGGGAAGUAUGGUUGCAAAGCUGAAACUUAAAGGAAUUGACGGAAGGGCACCACCAGGAGUGGAGCCUGCGGCUUAAUUUGACUCAACACGGGAAAUCUCACCAGGCCCGGACACCGGAAGGAUUGACAGAUUGAGAGCUCUUUCUUGAUUCGGUGGGUGGUGGUGCAUGGCCGUUCUG